RNAcentral lists this long non-coding RNA (507 nucleotides) under Nicotiana benthamiana. Its description in RNAcentral is "long non-coding RNA (NBEN_LNC021029)". The record is from RNAcentral. Lineage: Eukaryota; Viridiplantae; Streptophyta; Magnoliopsida; Solanales; Solanaceae.
GAUUCUUCAACUUUUUUCGAUUCUCAAUGUUAGUUUUAGACAUUCUCUACAAACAGAAAGAAACAUCAAACAAUGAAAUAUAUAAUGCUUCCUGUUAAAAUAUCAAACAGAAAGGUACCUGAGUCAUAUAUAUGCUUCAUGUUAAAAUAACAAACAGAAAAAUACAUAUGUUGCACACCUGUACCAAGUAAAUGCAACCGCUACUUUGAACAAAAAAUUCACUUGCACAAACGGGGAAGAUUUUGGGCAGAAAUGGGGCAGAAUUUUUCUGAAAACAUCUGCCAGCAUUUCGGCGCUUUUUGGACGUUUAGAAAGGAAGAAGAAUGAAAAUAAAAACAUACCUCCAAUCAUGAAAUACCAUCUAAUGACCUUGCUAAGUCAUAUAUAAUGCUUCCUGUUAAAACAUCAAACAGAAAGGUACGAGAGUUUUAUGUGUGAAAUCUGCAGCAUACGAGGUUUUAAACAUAAGUACACAACAACAAGGGGCUUAGGUGUGGAAGCAUAAUU